UGGUAGGGGAGCGUUCUGUAAGCCGAUGAAGGUGUGUUGAGAAGCAUGCUGGAGGUAUCAGAAGUGCGAAUGCUGACGUGAGUAACGACAAAACGGGUGAAAAACCCGUUCGCCGAAAGACCAAGGGUUCCAGUCCAACGUUAAUCGGGGCUGGGUGAGUCGACCCCUAAGGCGAGGCCGAAAGGCGUAGUCGAUGGGAAAAUGGUUAAUAUUCCAUUACUUCUGUGUAAUGCGAUGAGAGGACGGAGAAGGCUAAAUCAGCCUGGCGUUGGUUGUCCAGGUGAAAGGAUGUAGGCAUGUAUCUUAGGCAAAUCCGGGGUACUCUAUGCUGAGAUCUGAUAGCAAGCUGUACUUGUACAGCGAAGUGGUUGAUGCCAUGCUUCCAGGAAAAGUCUCUAAGCUUCAGUUACACAGGAAUCGUACCCGAAACCGACACAGGUGGUCAGGUCGAGUAGACCAAGGCGCUUGAGAGAACUCUGCUGAAGGAACUAGGCAAAAUGGUACCGUAACUUCGGGAGAAGGUACGCUGUUGUUGGUGAUGGAACUCGCUUCCUGAGCUGACGACAGCCGCAGAAACCAGGCCGCUGCAACUGUUUAUUAAAAACAUAGCACUCUGCAAACACGAAAGUGGACGUAUAGGGUGUGAUGCCUGCCCGGUGCUGGAAGGUUAAUUGAUGGGGUUAGCGUAAGCGAAGCUCUUGAUCGAAGCCCCAGUAAACGGCGGCCGUAACUAUAACGGUCCUAAGGUAGCGAAAUUCCUUGUCGGGUAAGUUCCGACCUGCACGAAUGGCAUAAUGAUGGCGGCGCUGUCUCCAGCAGAGGCUCAGUGAAAUCGAAAUCGCUGUGAAGAUGCAGUGUACCCGCGGCUAGACGGAAAGACCCCGUGAACCUUUACUGCAGCUUGACACUGAACUUUGACCUUACUUGUGUAGGAUAGGUGGGAGGCUUUGAAGCUGGAACGCUAGUUCCAGUGGAGCCGUCCUUGAAAUACCACCCUGGUAAUGUUGAGGUUCUAACUCUGUCCCGUGAUCCGGGACGAGGACCGUGUCUGGUGGGUAGUUUGACUGGGGCGGUCUCCUCCUAAAGAGUAACGGAGGAGUACGAAGGUGCGCUCAGCGUGGUCGGAAAUCACGCGUAGAGUAUAAAGGCAAAAGCGCGCUUAACUGCGAGACCCACAAGUCGAGCAGGUACGAAAGUAGGUCUUAGUGAUCCGGUGGUUCUGUAUGGAAGGGCCAUCGCUCAACGGAUAAAAGGUACUCUGGGGAUAACAGGCUGAUACCGCCCAAGAGUUCAUAUCGACGGCGGUGUUUGGCACCUCGAUGUCGGCUCAUCUCAUCCUGGGGCUGAAGCAGGUCCCAAGGGUAUGGCUGUUCGCCAUUUAAAGAGGUACGCGAGCUGGGUUUAGAACGUCGUGAGACAGUUCGGUCCCUAUCUACCGUGGGCGCUGGAAAUUUGAGAGGAUCUGCUCCUAGUACGAGAGGACCAGAGUGGACGAACCUCUGGUGUACCGGUUGUGACGCCAGUCGCAUCGCCGGGUAGCUAUGUUCGGAAGGGAUAACCGCUGAAAGCAUCUAAGCGGGAAGCCUACCUCAAGAUAAGAUUUCCCUAGGACUUUAUGUCCUCUAAAGAGCCGUUCGAGACUAGGACGUUGAUAGGUUGGAUGUGGAAGCAUAGUGAUAUGUGAAGCUGACCAAUACUAAUUGCUCGUGAGGCUUGACUAU
RNAcentral lists this ribosomal RNA (1721 nucleotides) under Acinetobacter baumannii. RNAcentral's name for it is "partial 23S ribosomal RNA". It matches the Rfam family "Bacterial large subunit ribosomal RNA", at positions 1226 to 2925 of the family's 2925-position model. The record is from RNAcentral. Lineage: Bacteria; Pseudomonadati; Pseudomonadota; Gammaproteobacteria; Moraxellales; Moraxellaceae.